RNAcentral lists this ribosomal RNA (667 nucleotides) under Enterobacter sp. RNAcentral's name for it is "bacterial SSU rRNA". It matches the Rfam family "Bacterial small subunit ribosomal RNA", at positions 816 to 1483 of the family's 1533-position model. Lineage: Bacteria; Pseudomonadati; Pseudomonadota; Gammaproteobacteria; Enterobacterales; Enterobacteriaceae. The record is from RNAcentral.
AUUGGAGGUUGUGCCCUUGAGGCGUGGCUUCCGGAGCUAACGCGUUAAGUCGACCGCCUGGGGAGUACGGCCGCAAGGUUAAAACUCAAAUGAAUUGACGGGGGCCCGCACAAGCGGUGGAGCAUGUGGUUUAAUUCGAUGCAACGCGAAGAACCUUACCUACUCUUGACAUCCAGAGAACUUAGCAGAGAUGCUUUGGUGCCUUCGGGAACUCUGAGACAGGUGCUGCAUGGCUGUCGUCAGCUCGUGUUGUGAAAUGUUGGGUUAAGUCCCGCAACGAGCGCAACCCUUAUCCUUUGUUGCCAGCGAUUCGGUCGGGAACUCAAAGGAGACUGCCAGUGAUAAACUGGAGGAAGGUGGGGAUGACGUCAAGUCAUCAUGGCCCUUACGAGUAGGGCUACACACGUGCUACAAUGGCGCAUACAAAGAGAAGCGACCUCGCGAGAGCAAGCGGACCUCAUAAAGUGCGUCGUAGUCCGGAUUGGAGUCUGCAACUCGACUCCAUGAAGUCGGAAUCGCUAGUAAUCGUAGAUCAGAAUGCUACGGUGAAUACGUUCCCGGGCCUUGUACACACCGCCCGUCACACCAUGGGAGUGGGUUGCAAAAGAAGUAGGUAGCUUAACCUUCGGGAGGGCGCUUACCACUUUGUGAUUCAUGACUGGGGUGA